CCUACGGGUGGCUGCAGUGGGGAAUAUUGCACAAUGGGCGCAAGCCUGAUGCAGCCAUGCCGCGUGUGUGAAGAAGGCCUUCGGGUUGUAAAGCACUUUCAGCGGGGAGGAAGGCGUUAAGGUUAAUAACCUUGGCGAUUGACGUUACCCGCAGAAGAAGCACCGGCCAACUCCGUGCCGGCAGCCGCGGUAAUACGGAGGGUGCAAGCGUUAAUCGGAAUUACUGGGCGUAAAGCGCACGCAGGCGGUCUGUCAAGUCGGAUGUGGAAUCCCCGGGCUCAACCUGGGAACUGCAUUCGAAACUGGCAGGCUAGAGUCUUGUAGAGGGGGGUAGAAUUCCAGGUGUAGCGGUGAAAUGCGUAGAGAUCUGGAGGAAUACCGGUGGCGAAGGCGGCCCCCUGGACAAAGACUGACGCUCAGGUGCGAAAGCGUGGGGAGCAAACAGGAUUAGAUACCCGUGUAGUC
This 465-nucleotide ribosomal RNA is filed under the name uncultured Klebsiella sp. Its description in RNAcentral is "bacterial SSU rRNA". It matches the Rfam family "Bacterial small subunit ribosomal RNA", at positions 338 to 795 of the family's 1533-position model. The record is from RNAcentral. Lineage: Bacteria; Pseudomonadati; Pseudomonadota; Gammaproteobacteria; Enterobacterales; Enterobacteriaceae.